This 22-nucleotide small nuclear RNA is filed under the name Arabidopsis thaliana (thale cress). Its description in RNAcentral is "snRNA_14334". Lineage: Eukaryota; Viridiplantae; Streptophyta; Magnoliopsida; Brassicales; Brassicaceae. The record is from RNAcentral.
GCCAGUGGCGCGAAGCUACCGU